RNAcentral lists this ribosomal RNA (600 nucleotides) under uncultured bacterium. RNAcentral describes it as "bacterial SSU rRNA". It matches the Rfam family "Bacterial small subunit ribosomal RNA", at positions 185 to 804 of the family's 1533-position model. The record is from RNAcentral.
AUCGCAUGAUGCAGUGUGAAAAACUCCGGUGGUAUAAGAUGGACCCGCGUCGGAUUAGCUAGUUGGUGAGGUAACGGCCCACCAAGGCGACGAUCCAUAGCCGACCUGAGAGGGUGACCGGCCACAUUGGGACUGAGACACGGCCCAAACUCCUACGGGAGGCAGCAGUGGGGAAUAUUGCACAAUGGGCGAAAGCCUGAUGCAGCGACGCCGCGUGAGCGAAGAAGUAUUUCGGUAUGUAAAGCUCUAUCAGCAGGGAAGAUAAUGACGGUACCUGACUAAGAAGCACCGGCUAAAUACGCGCCAGCAGCCGCGGUAAUACGUAUGGUGCAAGCGUUAUCCGGAUUUACUGGGUGUAAAGGGAGCGCAGGCGGUGCGGCAAGUCUGAUGUGAAAGCCCGGGGCUCAACCCCGGUACUGCAUUGGAAACUGUCGUACUAGAGUGUCGGAGGGGUAAGCGGAAUUCCUAGUGUAGCGGUGAAAUGCGUAGAUAUUAGGAGGAACACCAGUGGCGAAGGCGGCUUACUGGACGAUAACUGACGCUGAGGCCCGAAAGCGUGGGGAGCAAACAGGAUUAGAUACCCUGGUAGUCCACGCCGUA